GACGGAGGGUGCGAGCGUUAAUCGGAAUUACUGGGCGUAAAGCGCAUGUAGGCGGCCGAACAAGUCAGGUGUGAAAUCCUCGGGCUUAACCUGGGAAGUGCACUUGAUACUGUCCGGCUAGAGUUUGGCAGAGGAAAGUAGAAUUCCCGGUGUAGUGGUGAAAUGCGUAGAUAUCGGGAGGAAUACCAGUGGCGAAGGCGGCUUUCUGGGCCAAUACUGACGAUGAGGUGCGAAAGAGUGGGGAGCAAACAGG
Molecule: ribosomal RNA, 253 nt
Filed under: uncultured bacterium
Lineage: Bacteria
Description: partial 16S ribosomal RNA
Rfam family: Bacterial small subunit ribosomal RNA
Source: RNAcentral